AUUGACGCUGGCGGCAUGCUUAACACAUGCAAGUCGAACGGUAACGCGGGGGUAACCCUGGCGACGAGUGGCGGACGGGUGAGUAAUGCUUAGGAAUCUGCCCAACAGUGGGGGACAACCCGAGGAAACUCGGGCUAAUACCGCAUACGUCCUAUGGGAGAAAGCGGGGGACCUAAGGCCUCGCGCUGUUAGAUGAGCCUAAGCCCGAUUAGCUAGUUGGCGGGGUAAUAGCCCACCAAGGCGAGAUCGGUAGCUGGUCUGAGAGGAUGAUCAGGCCACACUGGGACUGAG
Molecule: ribosomal RNA, 291 nt
Filed under: uncultured bacterium
Lineage: Bacteria
Description: partial 16S ribosomal RNA
Rfam family: Bacterial small subunit ribosomal RNA
Source: RNAcentral